GGAAUAUAAAAAACCGUCUCUUAAUUUUUUAUUUAAAAAAACUAAGAAUUGGCUCUUGAAUAUGAUAUUUAAGAGCCGGUUCUUAGCUUUUUUAGUUAAAAAUUAAGAAACGGUUUCUUAUAUUCC
Molecule: non-coding RNA, 126 nt
Organism: Brassica napus (rape)
Lineage: Eukaryota; Viridiplantae; Streptophyta; Magnoliopsida; Brassicales; Brassicaceae
Source: Rfam